This 460-nucleotide ribosomal RNA is filed under the name uncultured bacterium. RNAcentral's name for it is "partial 16S ribosomal RNA". It matches the Rfam family "Bacterial small subunit ribosomal RNA", at positions 338 to 795 of the family's 1533-position model. The record is from RNAcentral.
CCUACGGGUGGCAGCAGUGAGGAAUAUUGGUCAAUGGGCGAGAGCCUGAACCAGCCAAGUCGCGUGAAGGAUGACGGCCCUACGGGUUGUAAACUUCUUUUGUCAGGGAGCAAUUUGGUCCACGCGUGGGCUUAGCGAGAGUACCUGAAGAAAAAGCAUCGGCUAACUCCGUGCCAGCAGCCGCGUUAAUACGAGGGAUGCGAGCGUUAUCCGGAUUUAUUGGGUUUAAAGGUUGCGUAGGCGGAAUAUCAAGUCAGCGGUAAGAAUUCGGGGCUCAACCCCGUCGUGUCGUUGAAACUGGUUUUCUUGAGUGAGUGAGAAGUAUGCGGAAUGCGUGGUGUAGCGGUGAAAUGCAUAGAUAUCACGCAGAACUCCGAUUGCGAAGGCAGCAUACCGGCGCUCAACUGACGCUCAUGCACGAAAGUGUGGGUAUCGAACAGGAUUAGAUACCCUGGUAGUC